AACGAACGCUGGCGGCAUGCCUAACACAUGCAAGUCGAACGAGACCUUCGGGUCUAGUGGCGCACGGGUGCGUAACGCGUGGGAACCUGCCCUUAGGUUCGGAAUAACUCCCCGAAAGGGGUGCUAAUACCGGAUAAUGUCUUCGGACCAAAGAUUUAUCGCCUUUGGAUGGGCCCGCGUUGGAUUAGCUAGUUGGUAGGGUAAAAGCCUACCAAGGCGACGAUCCAUAGCUGGUCUGAGAGGAUGAUCAGCCACACUGGGACUGAGACACGGCCCAGACUCCUACGGGAGGCAGCAGUGGGGAAUAUUGGACAAUGGGCGAAAGCCUGAUCCAGCAAUGCCGCGUGAGUGAUGAAUGCCUUAGUGUUGUAAAGCUCUUUUACCCGGGAUGAUAAUGACAGUACCGGGAGAAUAAGCACCGGCUAACUCCGUG
RNAcentral lists this ribosomal RNA (433 nucleotides) under uncultured bacterium. RNAcentral's name for it is "partial 16S ribosomal RNA". It matches the Rfam family "Bacterial small subunit ribosomal RNA", at positions 29 to 507 of the family's 1533-position model. The record is from RNAcentral.